This 22-nucleotide non-coding RNA is filed under the name Salmo salar (Atlantic salmon). Its record names the gene ssa-let-7j-5p. Lineage: Eukaryota; Metazoa; Chordata; Actinopteri; Salmoniformes; Salmonidae. The record is from miRBase by way of RNAcentral. RNAcentral also lists the same sequence under 1 other name.
UGAGGUAGUAGGUUGGAUAGUU